CAACGUUAAUCGACGCAGGGUUAGUCGGUCCCUAAGGCGAGGCUGAAAAGCGUAGUCGAUGGAAAACAGGUUAAUAUUCCUGUACUUCUGGUUAUUGCGAUGGAGGGACGGAGAAGGCUAGGCCAGCUUGGCGUUGGUUGUCCAAGUUUAAGGUGGUAGGCUGGAAUCUUAGGUAAAUCCGGGAUUCUAAGGCCGAGAGCUGAUGACGAGUUAUCUUUUAGAUGACGAAGUGGUUGAUGCCAUGCUUCCAAGAAAAGCUUCUAAGCUUCAGGUAACCAGGAACCGUACCCCAAACCGACACAGGUGGUUGGGUAGAGAAUACCAAGGCGCUUGAGAGAACUCGGGUGAAGGAACUAGGCAAAAUGGCACCGUAACUUCGGGAGAAGGUGCGCCGGUGAGGGUGAAGGACUUGCUCCGUAAGCUCAUGCCGGUCGAAGAUACCAGGCCGCUGCGACUGUUUAUUAAAAACACAGCACUCUGCAAACACGAAAGUGGACGUAUAGGGUGUGACGCCUGCCCGGUGCCGGAAGGUUAAU
RNAcentral lists this ribosomal RNA (536 nucleotides) under Salmonella enterica subsp. enterica serovar 1,4,[5],12:i:-. RNAcentral describes it as "partial 23S ribosomal RNA". It matches the Rfam family "Bacterial large subunit ribosomal RNA", at positions 1360 to 1881 of the family's 2925-position model. Lineage: Bacteria; Pseudomonadati; Pseudomonadota; Gammaproteobacteria; Enterobacterales; Enterobacteriaceae. The record is from RNAcentral.